GGGACGUACGGGGACACCAGAGACACAUGGGAUCCCUGGAGACACCGGGGACACACACGGGGGGACACGGGGGGACGGGUGCGAUGCCUGGGGAUGCAGGGGGGACACCAGGGAUAGAUGGGGCCACAUGGGGACACGUGGGGUCACCGGGGACGUGUGGGAUCACUGGGGACACACAGGGACGUGUGGGAUCCCUGGGGACACCGGGCACACGGGGGGACACAGGGGGACGGGUGCGAUCCCUGGGGAUGCAGGGGGGAAACCAGGGACACGCAGGGGACACGCAGGGACAGAUGGGGCCACUGGGGACACGUGGGGACACUUGGGUCACUGGGGACGUGUGGGGGUCACUGGGGACGCGCAGGGACGCCAGGGACGGAUGGGACCACCGGGGACACCGGGGAUCACCAAGGACACGUGGGGAUCGCUGGGGACACCAGGGACACGCAGGGAUGGAUGGGGUCACUGGGGACACGUGGGGACACCAGGGACGCGUGGGGACACUGGGGACAUGCAGGGAUCACUGGGGACACGUGGGGACACCAGGGAUCUCUGGGGACACACGGCGAUCCCUGGGGACACCGGGGACACAAGGGAUCGCUGGGGACAUGUGGGGACACAAAGGGACGGAUGGAGUCACCAGGGACACGUGUGGACCCCAGGGACAUGUGGGAUCACUGGGGACACACGGGAAGACCAGGGACAUCCAGGGACACCGGGCACAGGCGGGCGUAGCGGGGGACACGGCAUGGGGACACCAAGACAUGGGGACACCAAGACACCAGGACAUGGGGACACCAGGACACGGGGAUGGGGACACCAAGACACAGGGACCCCAAGACAUGGCAUGGGGACACCAGGGAUGGGGAUGGAGACACCAGGACACGGGGACACCAGGACACGGGGACAUGGGGAUGGGGACACCAGGACACGGGGACACCAGGGCACAGGGAUGGGGACACCAAGACACAGGGACACCAGGACACGGGGACAAGGUCACGGCGCAGGGACGGGGUCACCAGCGACGGUGUCACAGCGCGGGGGAGGGGGACGGUGAC
Molecule: long non-coding RNA, 1058 nt
Filed under: Apteryx haastii (Great spotted kiwi)
Lineage: Eukaryota; Metazoa; Chordata; Aves; Apterygiformes; Apterygidae
Description: lncRNA (ENSAHAG00000013559.1)
Source: RNAcentral